ACAAUAAACAAAUGAAUCUCGGCAAGUGAGU
This 31-nucleotide non-coding RNA is filed under the name Trypanosoma brucei brucei. The record is from RNAcentral. Lineage: Eukaryota; Euglenozoa; Kinetoplastea; Trypanosomatida; Trypanosomatidae.